Molecule: ribosomal RNA, 1149 nt
Filed under: metagenome
Description: bacterial SSU rRNA
Rfam family: Bacterial small subunit ribosomal RNA
Source: RNAcentral
UUAUUGGUCAAUGGGCGCAAGCCUGAACCAGCCAUGCCGCGUGCAGGAAGACGGCCCUAUGGGUUGUAAACUGCUUUUAUACGGGAAUAAACCUACCGACGUGUCGGUAGCUGAAUGUACUGUAAGAAUAAGGAUCGGCUAACUCCGUGCCAGCAGCCGCGGUAAUACGGAGGAUCCAAGCGUUAUCCGGAUUUAUUGGGUUUAAAGGGUGCGUAGGCGGCCUAUUAAGUCAGGGGUGAAAGACGGUAGCUUAACUAUCGCAGUGCCCUUGAUACUGAUGGGCUUGAAUAUACUAGAGGUAGGCGGAAUGUGACAAGUAGCGGUGAAAUGCAUAGAUAUGUCACAGAACACCGAUUGCGAAGGCAGCUUACUAUGGUAUUAUUGACGCUGAGGCACGAAAGCGUGGGGAUCAAACAGGAUUAGAUACCCUGGUAGUCCACGCCCUAAACGAUGAACACUCGAUGUUAGCGAUAUACAGUUAGCGUCAAAGCGAAAGCGUUAAGUGUUCCACCUGGGGAGUACGCCCGCAAGGGUGAAACUCAAAGGAAUUGACGGGGGCCCGCACAAGCGGAGGAGCAUGUGGUUUAAUUCGAUGAUACGCGAGGAACCUUACCCGGGCUUGAAAGUUAGUGAAGUUUCCAGAGAUGGAUACGUCCGCAAGGACACGAAACUAGGUGCUGCAUGGCUGUCGUCAGCUCGUGCCGUGAGGUGUUGGGUUAAGUCCCGCAACGAGCGCAACCCCUGUGGAUAGUUGCCAGCAUGUAAUGGUGGGGACUCUAUUCAGACUGCCUGUGCAAACAGAGAGGAAGGAGGGGACGACGUCAAGUCAUCAUGGCCCUUACGUCCGGGGCUACACACGUGCUACAAUGGAUGGUACAGAGGGCUGCUACACUGCAAAGUGAUGCCAAUCUCUAAAAGCCAUUCACAGUUCGGAUUGAGGUCUGCAACUCGACCUCAUGAAGUUGGAUUCGCUAGUAAUCGCGUAUCAGCAAUGACGCGGUGAAUACGUUCCCGGGCCUUGUACACACCGCCCGUCAAGCCAUGGAAGCUGGGAGUACCUGAAGUGCGUAACCGCAAGGAGCGUCCUAGGGUAAAAUCGGUAACUGGGGCUAAGUCGUAACAAGGUAGCCGUACCGGAAGGUGCGGCUG